GUGUUGUGGUUAAUAACCACAGCAAUUGACGUUACCCGCAGAAGAAGCACCGGCUAACUCCGUGCCAGCAGCCGCGGUAAUACGGAGGGUGCAAGCGUUAAUCGGAAUUACUGGGCGUAAAGCGCACGCAGGCGGUCUGUCAAGUCGGAUGUGAAAUCCCCGGGCUCAACCUGGGAACUGCAUUCGAAACUGGCAGGCUGGAGUCUUGUAGAGGGGGGUAGAAUUCCAGGUGUAGCGGUGAAAUGCGUAGAGAUCUGGAGGAAUACCGGUGGCGAAGGC
RNAcentral lists this ribosomal RNA (279 nucleotides) under Enterobacter cloacae. Its description in RNAcentral is "partial 16S ribosomal RNA". It matches the Rfam family "Bacterial small subunit ribosomal RNA", at positions 445 to 722 of the family's 1533-position model. Lineage: Bacteria; Pseudomonadati; Pseudomonadota; Gammaproteobacteria; Enterobacterales; Enterobacteriaceae. The record is from RNAcentral.